UCUAGAAUAUCUUGUCAUACCAAACAGUAAGAUGGCUCUCAAAGACUACCCCGGAUAGUGUCAACUUGCAGAGGACUCCACUGGCCAAAGAUGGGACAUUUGAGGUUAAUUAAGGAUAAGAAACUCAGUGAGUUGGAACUCACAUAAUAUGUUUAAAUUAAUGAGCUCAUAGUGAUGUAAAAUUAUUGAUAAUAUUCAGAAGAUGAUGGGGAGCUGAUUAACUAUCUUAGAACUUUUUUUAAAAGGGAAACAAGCAUUUCUUACACAAACUAUAUCAGUGGUUACACUGGGUAACUAAAUAGUAGAUGAGUUAAGCAUGUUUAUAAAAAUAUCCUAGCUAAUAAAUGAAGAUAAAAUGUAGAAGUGGAAUACCACCAUUUGACUACUCCCAGUGAAUGAAUGGAUCUGGCAAAGAGUGUCAAUGGCUGUUAACAUCACAAAAAGAGAGAUAACAUGACCACUUACAGACUUACCAAAGUGAUUGAGCCUGAGUCUGACCAAGCGUUUGGAUCCAGCUGCCAUAUGCAGGACAUAUAGAGGACAGAAGAACAUGUUGAACUGCACCACGAAUGUGGAGCCAGCAACACCCAGAUGGUGGGAAACCAGGCCAAAUGAUCUGACUAUUAGGAGCCCCUUCAAGUUGGCUACUGUGUCCUUUUAACAUAUACGAAGUUGUUCCUAUUUGAGACUAAACUGCGAAAAAUAUUCCCUUGAAUCCUGAAGAUAUACAAUUCCAGAGACUUCUGGAGGCUCACUCCUGCCCCUCUGGACAUUGGUUCUGGGUCCAUGACAGCUCCUCAGAAGAGUAGGCUAUGCCAGAGGUGGAACUCAGGUGAGUCCCUCUU
Mirounga angustirostris (Northern elephant seal) is the source of this 845-nucleotide long non-coding RNA. RefSeq lists it as uncharacterized. The transcript is spliced from 2 exons. NCBI's taxonomy places the organism in Eukaryota, Metazoa, Chordata, Mammalia, Carnivora, Phocidae. The record is from RefSeq and is a predicted model, not a curated record.